This 396-nucleotide ribosomal RNA is filed under the name uncultured bacterium. RNAcentral describes it as "partial 16S ribosomal RNA". It matches the Rfam family "Bacterial small subunit ribosomal RNA", at positions 523 to 918 of the family's 1533-position model. The record is from RNAcentral.
AUACGUAUGGAGCAAGCGUUAUCCGGAUUUACUGGGUGUAAAGGGAGUGUAGGCGGCUUUGCAAGUCAGAUGUGAAAGCCCGGGGCUCAACCCCGGGACUGCAUUUGAAACUGUGAAGCUGGAGUGUCGGAGAGGUAAGUGGAAUUCCUAGUGUAGCGGUGAAAUGCGUAGAUAUUAGGAAGAACACCAGUGGCGAAGGCGGCUUACUGGACGAUUACUGACGCUGAGGCUCGAAAGCGUGGGGAGCAAACAGGAUUAGAUACCCUGGUAGUCCACGCUGUAAACGAUGAAUGCUAGGUGUUGGGGCCCAUAGGGCUUCGGUGCCGCAGCUAACGCAAUAAGCAUUCCACCUGGGGAGUACGUUCGCAAGAAUGAAACUUAAAGGAAUUGACGGGG